GGUCAAUAAAAUUUCAAACGAUAACCAACGAUCAUAAAUGAUCACAUUGCAUGGCUAUAAAAGGGCCACCUUAAAAUGUAAUUUGAUACAUCGCAUCUAAUUCUCUUCUUCUCUUCUUUCUAAUUUUUUCUCUUCAAAUCUUUUAUCCUUGUGAUUAUUUUUCUAAAUGUUGAAAGAAUCUACAUCAAUCUCCUCCAUGAUCGUGCUCGCAAGCAAAGGAUUCCAAUCAUAUCUUAGAGUAAUUUUUUCAAUUUUUUUUACAUGAGGGAUAGGAAUACGCCAUAGGAUAAUAUCCAAUAUGCUUCUGGAUUUGAUCAAUUUUAUAUCUUGAUGUUCUGUAAAUCAUUUAUAAUUUUUUUAUAAUAUAGUUUUGUUCAGUUCUAAAUUAUAUUAAGAAUUCUUAAAGCUCUAUUCCAACAAAAAUAAUAGCACAAUUCGCUUCUAAAGCAUUCCGCCUCAAGCUUGAGGUAACGUAAUAUGUCAUUAAAAGUUCUUAUAUUUUCGCUGUGCAUCAUCAAGGGCUUCAUUUGGAUCCACUCAGGAUCUGACAAAGAACGAAUAACAGCAAGCACAUGUUGCUCAUUAUUAAGCUCAUUCCCAGCAGCUCUAAAUCUUGAAUCAUGGCACUCAUAACAUGAAGAUACUCAGCCAUGGAGUAUUUUGGGUCUUAGUGUAUUGCUAAAAUUUCAUAUUCAAGGCAUGAAGUUUUGUAGUUGAAGUUUGCCCAAAAUUGAUCUUAAGCUGGUUCCAUAUGUCUUAGGUCAUGAGGCAAUUCUCAAAUUUGCUAAUAAAGUGCACAUAUCAAUCUUUUUUAAUCCAAUUCUCAAAGGCUUCUUUAUCACGGCGAUGAUGGACAGUAUUGCCUUCCUCAGGUGGGACUAUGGUAGUAGAUAAUAUCUCCAAGACAUCUUAUUCAUUAAACAAAUAUUGAAUUUUCCUUUGCUAGAUAUCAUAAUUUUUUCUAUCAAGUUUUUUCUCUUUGGUCAAAUCAACGACAAUAUUCUCAGAGGCCAUGAUUCAUUAUAUUCAUUAAACAAGGAGGGACAUUGGGCACAUAUUUUUCUCAAAAAUAAUAAUUUAGAUUUUUAUAUUCUUUUUUACAUUACAAGAUCGAAAAUGUCGCUAUGCUGAUAAUCAUCUUAAUAAAUAUAUUUUGUAUAAAUUUUUUGGCCCCAGAUGAUGUGGCACGCACCUCCCACGCGCCACGUGUAGCUUCUAUUUAUACAAAAAAUAUUUUUUCAAUUUUUUCCAUUCGAGAAAUCAAAAUAAAAUAUCCAAAUUACAUAUACAUAGUAAUUAGAUAAUAAGAAACA
This 1313-nucleotide long non-coding RNA is filed under the name Elaeis guineensis (African oil palm). RNAcentral describes it as "long non-coding RNA (EGUI_LNC035041)". Lineage: Eukaryota; Viridiplantae; Streptophyta; Magnoliopsida; Arecales; Arecaceae. The record is from RNAcentral.